RNAcentral lists this ribosomal RNA (639 nucleotides) under Euparkerella tridactyla (three-toed Guanabara frog). RNAcentral's name for it is "partial small subunit ribosomal RNA". Lineage: Eukaryota; Metazoa; Chordata; Amphibia; Anura; Craugastoridae. The record is from RNAcentral.
AAAGAUAGCACGUAAAACGCUGAGAUGGAAAAUUUCCUUUAAAUACCCAUCAGAAUGAGAGGAAUUACCCCCCACGACCAGCACCCAAAGCUGGCAUUCUACUAAAUUACACUCUGUUAGUUUUACCUGUGAACUCACCCCCACUAAAACACAAGGAUUUGGUCCCAGUCCUUAAACCAAUUACCACUUAACUUACACAUGCAAGUCUCAGCACACCUGUGAAAACGCCCCCACCCAAAAGUGGGGAGCCGGUAUCAGGCACAACAAUUGCCCAAGACACCUAGCCCCGCCACACCCACAAGGGCAUGCAGCAGUAAUUAACAUUAAGCAUAAACGCCAGUUUGACUUAAUUAAAGUACUCAGAGCCGGCCAACCCGGUGCCAGCCGCCGCGGAUACACCGUUGGACUCAAAUUGGUAUACCUCGGCGUAAAGCGUGGUUUAAGCUACACACCACUAAGAUUAAACUCAAGCUCAACUGUCUAAAGUCUUGCUUCCAGGAAACCCACAAACGAAAGUUAUCUUAUCCGCCACUUCUUGAACCCACGACAACUAGGACCACAAACUGGGAUUAGAUACCCCACUAUGCCUGGUCGUAAACUUUACUUACACCCCCCACCCGCCAGGGAACUACGAGCCAA